Molecule: ribosomal RNA, 254 nt
Filed under: uncultured prokaryote
Description: partial 16S ribosomal RNA
Rfam family: Bacterial small subunit ribosomal RNA
Source: RNAcentral
UACGGAGGAUCCGAGCGUUAUCCGGAAUUACUGGGCGUAAAGAGUUGCGUAGGUGGCAUAGUAAGUAGGUAGUGAAAGCGUGUGGCUCAACCAUACUCACAUUAUCUAAACUGCUAAGCUAGAAUAUAGAAGAGGUAGCUGGAAUUCCCUGUGUAGGAGUGAAAUCCGUAGAUAUAGGGAGGAACACCAAUGGCGUAGGCAGGCUACUGGUCUAUUAUUGACACUAAGGCACGAAAGCGUGGGGAGCGAACGGG